RNAcentral lists this ribosomal RNA (466 nucleotides) under uncultured bacterium. RNAcentral describes it as "partial 16S ribosomal RNA". It matches the Rfam family "Bacterial small subunit ribosomal RNA", at positions 28 to 507 of the family's 1533-position model. The record is from RNAcentral.
GACGAACGCUGGCGGCGCGCCUAACACAUGCAGGUCGAACGAGCGAGAGAGAGCUUGCUUUCUCGAGCGAGUGGCGAACGGGUGAGUAACGCGUGAGGAACCUGCCUCAAAGAGGGGGACAACAGUUGGAAACGACUGCUAAUACCGCAUAAGCCCACGGUGCCGCAUGGCACAGAGGGAAAAGGAGCAAUCCGCUUUGAGAUGGCCUCGCGUCCGAUUAGCUAGUUGGUGAGGUAAUGGCCCACCAAGGCGACGAUCGGUAGCCGGACUGAGAGGUUGAACGGCCACAUUGGGACUGAGACACGGCCCAGACUCCUACGGGAGGCAGCAGUGGGGAAUAUUGCACAAUGGGGGAAACCCUGAUGCAGCGACGCCGCGUGGAGGAAGAAGGUCUUCGGAUUGUAAACUCCUGUUGUUGGGGAAGAUAAUGACGGUACCCAACAAGGAAGUGACGGCUGACUACGUA